This 431-nucleotide ribosomal RNA is filed under the name uncultured bacterium. RNAcentral's name for it is "partial 16S ribosomal RNA". It matches the Rfam family "Bacterial small subunit ribosomal RNA", at positions 29 to 507 of the family's 1533-position model. The record is from RNAcentral.
AACGAACGCUGGCGGCAGGCUUAACACAUGCCAGUCGAACGCCCCGCAAGGGGAGUGGCCGACGGGUGAGUAACGCGUGGGAACAUACCCUUUUCUACGGAAUAGCUCUGGGAAACUGGAAUUAAUACCGUAUACGCCCUACGGGGGAAAGAUUUAUCGGGGAAGGAUUGGCCCGCGUUGGAUUAGCUAGUUGGUGGGGUAAAGGCCUACCAAGGCGACGAUCCAUAGCUGGUCUGAGAGGAUGAUCAGCCACAUUGGGACUGAGACACGGCCCAAACUCCUACGGGAGGCAGCAGUGGGGAAUAUUGGACAAUGGGCGCAAGCCUGAUCCAGCCAUGCCGCGUGAGUGAUGAAGGCCUUAGGGUUGUAAAGCUCUUUCACCGAUGAAGAUAAUGACGGUAGUCGGAGAAGAAGCCCCGGCUAACUUCGUG